UCACCUUGCCCCGGGGUUGCCCCGAAACCAGAAUGGUGCGCUUUGCCCCGCCGUGGUGCCGCACUGCGGAGGGUCAACAUCGAGGACAAAACUGCACCCUGCGCAGAGUGCUUGCAUGCAGCGCUACUUUGCCCCUGGCGCGCAAAACGUGCGCGAACACGCGCACGCGCAUAUUUUAUUGUUUGCAGAUGCUGAGCAUCUGCGGCAAGCGCUCGAACCUUGUCAAACUGCGUGCUCCGACAUACCUGGUUGCAAGCAAACACCAAUGAAUUUUAUAAUUAAUCCUGACGACCCGUUCAAUGAACCUGUCCACUUUCGGCCGCUCUUCACCACACUGUUUUUGGACGAGGUCGAGCAGAAUGUCGUCUUCGCUGUCAGACGAACUUGAAGAAUGCUCAUCGAUUGCGGCAACUAGCAGCGCUUCCUUUCUCAUCGCCGACAAAUCCACUAGCUAACUCCGUCAACUCCGUUGCAACGUACCGCAGCUAUCGGGCCAGAGCGUCCGCGGUUCUGCAGUCGGCAGUACGCGCGCACGUCGCGCGUCCCGCAGUGCUUGCUGGGAUUGCACUCCGCGCACCGCCGAUUUUCUCGGUGCGAGACGGGGCAACGGAAAACCGCUCCAACAGGGUGCGCUUCCGGUGAUCGAGGAUGCUCAGUGCGCACCGGUGCGAUUGAUCGAGGAUGAAAGUGCGCACCAAGGCGCCCCGGUGCGCACCGGUGCGGGUGAUCGAGGACGCUAUUUGUUUUUCGCGUCCGUGAUGUCACAUCCGUCUUUGGUUUUGGCGGCAGAAUGGCAAGCUCAAAGGUGAGCUACGCUCAAACAACUGGACAAAGAUGUGGAUCGUUUAUUUUUUGGGGCUUGUGCUAGCGUAAGCUAUCGUAAGUGGCCAAAGAACGUAAUCGGAAGAGGUGACGAGACGAAUGCGUUCUUCGUGGUUAGGAAAAGAAUUGCCAGUGGCAUCCAGUUGUGUGAGGCGUUGACGACAAGAGAUGGAAGCAGACGCCAAAGAAGUCCCACCCCAAGAUGAGUUCAUGGGUCACUCACGAAAUACCGCAAAAACAAUGUGGUGAAGAAUUUAGUCUAUGGACACACGAACAGUACACGGUGCGAUUGGACGAAUAAUAACGUUGGCUGCUGCACAAAGAGAAAGGCCGGAGUAAGGCAAUUCUUGUGUUUUAUAGAGUCCCGAACAGUCACAUGGCAAUAAUCGCCAAGCGUCUUGUAACAUGGAGCCACCUCAGAAUUGCACCAAACAAAGAUGAUGGAUGCAGCCAGUCUUGCCAGAUAACUACAUUUUGACUAUUCUGUAUUGUUUGCAUUUAUUGUGCAAAAGGAAUUCUCGCAGAGAGUUUUAUCUUCAGUGGCCUUCAGUUGACGUCAUCUGCUACAACUAGCACAUAAGUUAACUCCAUAGCACCACUAGGAUGGAGACAUUGUGUCGUGGGAUGCUUCCUUAAAAGUGGGCAAGAAGAUUCUAAAGGAAAAGUGUGAGAUGGUCACAGUAAUAACCAAGGCAUAUGGCAUGCGAAUGACCCAGCUAUGAAGGUAUUAUCAGAUGUGGACAAGCAUAUAAUACUAAAUGGCGCCUUGCACGAGUACCAAGUGUCAAAUGUAAUGAGUAUUGUGCAUUGAAAGGGCCAAAAAUGUUUUGUACAUGCAAGGGAGCACUAUGGGCAUUUGAUAGCAGUUGCUUAGAUGUACUACAUUAAAGGGAACCAAACGAAUUCCCUUAGACAUAAGUAUGCAGCAAAUUCAAGGACUAGAUGAAGCUUCAAAGAAACUGCAUUUCAUGUAGGAUAGGUGUGAAUGACCUUUGUGCAUGAGAUCAGUGACAAAAACACUAAAUGAAUGCAGUACAGUGUCUGCAUCAUAUCUUGUGCAGACCAAACUAGCCUGGAGUUUCAGCAUUCCUUGUCAGUACAUUUAAAUAGGCACUACAUUGUUCAAAGUGCUAUAUUGUUCUACAAAACAUAAUAUGCAAGAUGUAGCAUGCUAACCCUCGUGGCUCAACAACUACUGAACCGAAACCUCAAUGAGCAGUGAAGCGUCCUUGUAAUUUUCAUCGUAACCAUACUUUUGCUCUUGAAAGUGAACCUCUUUAGUGAAUUUGCUUGUGUAUUAAUUUUUCUUUAGGCAAGUAUUUUUUAUACAUGUUAAUGUCUCAAUCCUGCUUUCUCUUUCCGGAGCUAAAACAAAAUGCCUCUUAUUUCAAUUUGAUCUUUUGACCUAGGAAGCCAUCAUCUGGUGCUGUGUACAGCAAGCACAUGCUUCGGGCAAGGAGGGAGCCAGCACCACAUCUACAUCAGCAAGAACCUCGGUGCUCAAAAUAAACAUUUUCUGUGCAAA
This is a long non-coding RNA of Dermacentor andersoni, 2347 nucleotides long. RefSeq lists it as uncharacterized. The record is from RefSeq and is a predicted model, not a curated record. Lineage: Eukaryota; Metazoa; Arthropoda; Arachnida; Ixodida; Ixodidae.